AAAAGCAAUGAGGGAAAGUAUGAGGGAAAAAGAAAAAAAAAAAAGAACUACAACUAAAUUUUGGAAUGGAAUAUUAACAGUUUUAAAAUACACUGUGUAUUUUUGCACAAGCAAAUGGAAAGAAAGCAUCUGGGAAUCCGACCUAUGUCUAAGUGCUGCCAUACUGGCCUGACCCUUCACUACUGAGCUCCUUUGAACAAGUUAAUCUUUCUGAACAUCAAAGGUGUCGCUGAGAGUCUCAAUCAGACUGAAAGGCCCUGCCCUGCCAUGGAAGCUACUCCGAACUCAACAGAAACAUGAACUACACUUGUCAUUACAGCAACUGAUUUGUUCAGCUGCUUGGCUCCAAUCUUGGCCUCACACGCUUCCUCUGGGAUGAAAAAAGUCAGUGAAGGAUUAUGUUCUACAUUCUUGCACCAUAUCUUGCUUUUGUCAAUCAUCAACACUUUAUGGAGAGCUCUUCAUGUGAUCAGAAUGGACCAGGAUCUCUCUGUGCUAGACCUUGUUCAUACGCCUCCCCAGGGAUGCUCAGCCAGGUGUAUCUGCUUGCAUUAGAAAUGCUCCUACAGGAAGGUCUCCUGGCACCAGGCACAUUCUUAAGGCCACAAAGGGAGGGUUUCCACCUUUACAAGGAGGAGUCAUGUUUGGUGGUCUGCUGUUUGCCUGCUACCUGAGCCUUGCCAGACCUGCUCCUGUUCCUUCAGAGCUCACAGGCUCCAGGAGAUCUUCAUUGUGCUGCACUGUGAUUCUGCUCCCCAGCUAAUAGCUCAGCUCAUGGGAAUGAUGACGCUAGCUCUCUCUGUUGGGACUGCAAAAUAGCCCAAGGUGCUGUCUACACUCAAUUAUCUGUAUGUCCCAGCAGCUGUAAGGCUCAGGAGAAGCAAGUACGUAGCUCAGUCAUGGGAAUGUGGAAGAAAGGAAGCCUGUUUGCAUCCCCAUGUUUCCAGAAUCUCCUCUGCAUUCACAGUCUUGCCAGAAAUUUGUAGACCAUGAUUUAGUUAAGCUAGCCUUGGUCCAUUACUAAACUUUGUCUGCCUUGACCAUUCUCUCUUUAAAUUGGGAAAUGGUUGAUUUACCUCUUCAUUAUUGAAGAUUUUCCAAAUCAUCUGCUCCAAGAUGAUUUCUUUUCCCUACCUGAAAUAAGAAUC
This is a long non-coding RNA of Neofelis nebulosa (Clouded leopard), 1148 nucleotides long. RefSeq lists it as uncharacterized. The transcript is spliced from 6 exons. The record is from RefSeq and is a predicted model, not a curated record. NCBI's taxonomy places the organism in Eukaryota, Metazoa, Chordata, Mammalia, Carnivora, Felidae.